Leopardus geoffroyi (Geoffroy's cat) is the source of this 364-nucleotide long non-coding RNA. RefSeq lists it as uncharacterized. The record is from RefSeq and is a predicted model, not a curated record. Lineage: Eukaryota; Metazoa; Chordata; Mammalia; Carnivora; Felidae. The transcript has 2 exons.
AGGCAGAAAAUGGAGAGUGAGAAGAGGAAAGAGGAGAGAAAACCAAGGCAAAGAUGGAGAGAAGAAGGUCUUCUUAACCUUGAUCAUUGUAUCAGAGAACUUUUAAUUAUCUGAGAAUGACCAGAAGACCCAUGGGAUCUGUCUGCAUUCUCGUGCAAGCAGACACAGAGGAACUUGGCCUCAGGAGUGAACAGCAAAGACACCAGCAGAGAUGCUUUCAGAUUAAGCACUUGAGUUCCACUUGUAAAAUGUUAAGAUUACAUUUGCUUUAUUGAAGAUAAAUUUUUCCCUCUUUUUUUUAAUUCUACUUUUUGAUGACUUUUGAGGUAAGGGAUUGAAAUAAAAAUGUCUUUACCAACUUUAA